CAGUCGCCGCGGUAAUACAGAGGGUGCGAGCGUUAAUCGGAUUUACUGGGCGUAAAGCGUGCGUAGGCGGCUUCUUAAGUCGGAUGUGAAAUCCCUGAGCUUAACUUAGGAAUUUCAUUCUAUACUGGGAAGCUAGAGUAUGGGAGAGGAUGGUAGAAUUCCAGGUGUAGCGGUGAAAUGCGUAGAGAUCUGGAGGAAUACCGAUGGCGAAGGCAGCCAUCUGGCCUAAUACUGACGCUGAGGUACGAAAGCAUGGGGAGCAAACAGGAUUAGAUACCCCAGUAGUCCCUGUCUCUUAUAU
Molecule: ribosomal RNA, 301 nt
Filed under: uncultured bacterium
Lineage: Bacteria
Description: partial 16S ribosomal RNA
Rfam family: Bacterial small subunit ribosomal RNA
Source: RNAcentral